Molecule: ribosomal RNA, 498 nt
Filed under: Klebsiella pneumoniae
Lineage: Bacteria; Pseudomonadati; Pseudomonadota; Gammaproteobacteria; Enterobacterales; Enterobacteriaceae
Description: bacterial SSU rRNA
Rfam family: Bacterial small subunit ribosomal RNA
Source: RNAcentral
AACCUGGGAACUGCAUUCGAAACUGGCAGGCUAGAGUCUUGUAGAGGGGGGUAGAAUUCCAGGUGUAGCGGUGAAAUGCGUAGAGAUCUGGAGGAAUACCGGUGGCGAAGGCGGCCCCCUGGACAAAGACUGACGCUCAGGUGCGAAAGCGUGGGGAGCAAACAGGAUUAGAUACCCUGGUAGUCCACGCCGUAAACGAUGUCGAUUUGGAGGUUGUGCCCUUGAGGCGUGGCUUCCGGAGCUAACGCGUUAAAUCGACGCCUGGGGAGUACGGCCGCAAGGUUAAAACUCAAAUGAAUUGACGGGGGCCCGCACAAGCGGUGGAGCAUGUGGUUUAAUUCGAUGCAACGCGAAGAACCUUACCUGGUCUUGACAUCCACAGAACUUUCCAGAGAUGGAUUGGUGCCUUCGGGAACUGUGAGACAGGUGCUGCAUGGCUGUCGUCAGCUCGUGUUGUGAAAUGUUGGGUUAAGUCCCGCAACGAGCGCAACCCUUAUC